UUAACAUAAAGUUGAUAGGAAUUAAUUGAGUUUGAAUUCUUUGGAUUAGUAAGAGGAAUGUGCUUUCACAGGCAUCUGUGUCCUUCAAGGAUGUGACUGUGGAGUUUACCCAGGAGGAGUGGCGGCAGAUGAGCCCUGCUCGGAGGACCCUGUACAGAGAUGUGAUGCUGGAGAACUACAGCCACCUUGUGUCUUCGGAAUCCUGAUUCAAGAAGGAAAUAAGAGCAACAGCAGGAAAAGGCUUGUACCCUCUACCUGAACUCUGGCUUCUGUUGCACUGUGAGACUAUCCAUGAACUUGACCACAGUAAGAGCUUCGCCUUUGAUUUGUCCAGAUUUAAGGGCUAAUCACCAAGAAGUAAUGCGCAACAUGUAAAGCUUAGCAGCCUGUGUUUGUAGUCAAGCAGACCUGUUCAAGCCUUGGCUUUGCUAUUAUGGGCUCUGUGACCAUGGAAAACCCCUUAACCUCUCUGUGCUCUGCAAAAU
RNAcentral lists this long non-coding RNA (485 nucleotides) under Sus scrofa (pig). RNAcentral's name for it is "lncRNA (ENSSSCG00070008662.1)". Lineage: Eukaryota; Metazoa; Chordata; Mammalia; Artiodactyla; Suidae. The record is from RNAcentral.